Molecule: non-coding RNA, 84 nt
Organism: Phyllosticta citrichinensis
Lineage: Eukaryota; Fungi; Ascomycota; Dothideomycetes; Botryosphaeriales; Phyllostictaceae
Source: the annotation of a GenBank genome assembly
GGAUUGGUGGCGUAGUGGUAGCGCAUGUCGUGGUUCAACAUUCGCAUCCACGGCAAGUCCCAGGUUCAAGUCCUGGCCAAUCUG